AUGCAGUGUGCGGUUGGGCAUGUGAUCUGUUCGUCUUGCCACGACAAGCUCAAGAACAAGAACAAGUGCCACGCUGGUGCCACCACCGGAGGCUACAACCGUUGCAUAGCGAUCGACCACAUCCUGGAGUCUGUCCAGGCCCCUUGCUCCAACUCCAUAUACGGUUGCACCGUCAAGACGCGUUACCUCGAGCGACAGGAACACCAGAAGUCAUGCCCACUUGCACCGUGCUUCUGCCCCGAAGCUGGUUGCGGUUUCGCCGGCUUGACCACCCAGCUCCUUCACCAUCUCACUGAUGAUCACAAUAUACCAGUUACAGAGUUUCCAUCCGGAUGGUGUCUCACCCUCGAGAUACAAGUACAACAGAGUAUGCGGGUUCUCCACAUGAAAGAAGAAGAAGGCGGCCCCAUGUUCCUAGCUAAGUCCACACCAGUGCUGCCUUUUGGCAAUGUUGUCUCCAUCUUGUGCGUUGAUCCUCAUGCCGUGCCGGGGGAGCGCAAGUUCAGGUGUGAGGUUGAUUUCUACUGCAACACCCUAGGU
This 540-nucleotide ribosomal RNA is filed under the name Triticum aestivum (bread wheat). Its description in RNAcentral is "partial small subunit ribosomal RNA". Lineage: Eukaryota; Viridiplantae; Streptophyta; Magnoliopsida; Poales; Poaceae. The record is from RNAcentral.